AAUCCAUAGGUUAAUGAGGCGAACCGGGGGAACUGAAACAUCUAAGUACCCCGAGGAAAAGAAAUCAACCGAGAUUCCCCCAGUAGCGGCGAGCGAACGGGGAGGAGCCCAGAGCCUGAAUCAGCAUGUGUGUUAGUGGAAGCGUCUGGAAAGGCGCGCGAUACAGGGUGACAGCCCCGUACACAAAAGCGCAUGUGCUGUGAGCUCGAUGAGUAGGGCGGGACACGUGGUAUCCUGUCUGAAUAUGGGGGGACCAUCCUCCAAGGCUAAAUACUCCUGACUGACCGAUAGUGAACCAGUACCGUGAGGGAAAGGCGAAAAGAACCCCGGCGAGGGGAGUGAAAAAGAACCUGAAACCGUGUACGUACAAGCAGUGGGAGCACCCUUUGGGGUGUGACUGCGUACCUUUUGUAUAAUGGGUCAGCGACUUAUAUUCUGUAGCAAGGUUAACCGUAUAGGGGAGCCGUAGGGAAACCGAGUCUUAACCGGGCGUUAAGUUGCAGGGUA
Molecule: ribosomal RNA, 507 nt
Filed under: Salmonella enterica subsp. enterica serovar Typhimurium
Lineage: Bacteria; Pseudomonadati; Pseudomonadota; Gammaproteobacteria; Enterobacterales; Enterobacteriaceae
Description: partial 23S ribosomal RNA
Rfam family: Bacterial large subunit ribosomal RNA
Source: RNAcentral